GGAAGGAUGGGUGGAGAUUUAAAGCGCUCCUCUGCCUUACAGACAUAGGGCUCCUGGUGGUAUGGUCCUGGAGGUGAGCUCGACAACUCAGACAUGUCUGAACACUUCUGGGAGUCCACCAUCAAAGCAUCAAAGACUUCAAAGUCAGUUUUCUUCACCUGGAUGACGUUGUUGACAGUACCCAGCUGGCUGGUUACAACGGGCUCUGAAGGAUCGUGUGUCCACUGCCCAUCCACAAAGAACUUGUACUGGUGCUCUCCUUCUGGCAGGUCCAGGAUUGCCACAAAGUUGUUGUGACUCCUUGUCAAAGGAAUCUUGCUCCAGUUGUUGAAGGACCCAGAUAAAUACACUUCUUUCCCUCCUCCGGUCCAGCGAAAGACUGUUGGUCGAGCUUGAGUGGGGGUUUUAUCACUCACUUCCAGAUCCUGCUGCCAAGCUAGGAACUCUUCUUUAUCCAAUGGCGCCUUCAUCUCCUCCGGAUGGAAUAAGUCCGCAUCCUCGGGGCUGUCCAUUAAGAUCUUCGGUCUGUCCCCAUCCUUGGUGCUGCCGGCUCCUCCCGCACCGUCGCCCCGCGAUGCUUUGUGCCCGUGGCGCUCCAGCCCGGCUCGCUCGCUGCUCGUGUUCCCCAUUUUUAAGGGCCUCAGCGGCCACGCGUAACCCGCAGCGCUACGGAGCCCUUCGGGGCCGCCCGCCGCGAUGCCCGCCGCGCCCGGCAGCCGCGCAGCGCCGCCCGCACCUCCCGCCGCCGCCGCCGCUUCCGCUUCCGCUUCCGCGUUCCCCGCGCGGCCGCCCCGGCCAGCAGCCGGCCCCGCACUGCGGGUUCCCUCCCGGCGGCCGCGCGGGGUUCGGGGCUGCCUCUCUGCGGCCCAUUACCGCCGCCCCGUGCCUGUCCUAUCGAUGCUGAAGCGCCGUGACGGGCAGCGCGCGGCCGCUCCUGGGGCUGCUUUCCCCCGCUCGGGGUGCUGCGUUUACUCGGGGAUGAGAAAGCAGUGAGCACCGCGCCGGGCAGGAAACGCAUUCCGGGUGCGCUGAGAGCGGCGGUGCGGCCGCGGGGCGGUGUCGGCUGCGGCGCUGCUCGGGCCGAAGCGCGCGUGGAAGUCGGGAAGCUUUGAGCUGAGCGGCGGUCCCCCAAACGGAGUUCCACGCGGCGUUCCUCCGGCGCGCUGCCGGUCUCGCGUCUCUCUCGGUCCGCUGCUUCCCCCUUUCUGCGAUGAGCACAGAGCGGUGCAGGCUGCAGUUUGGGCCGUGCUCCCCAUGGCGAGAGAACCGCUUUUCAGGGUCGGACCCAACGGACGGAAGGGUUUUUUUUUUUCCUCUGUCGGAUCAAAGCGUAUCGUCGUGGCACGCUGUGACGGGGAGGAGGGAUUCUGCUGGCAUCGACACAUUCCCCGUGCCCAGCCCUGGGAGCGCGGCUGGCUGCUGCCGCCUGCCUGGAGGAGCAGCUGCUGCUCAUUUAUCUUCCGUGGGCACAACGCCCCGAGCAUGGGAGCACCCGUCACAGGGCAAGGGAGCCCUUCCCCAGCUCCCACGGAGCUCUUACGCUGCUAUAAAAUGCAGCUGUUGUUGUUUUGAUACUUAACGCAGGUUAGCAGUCUCCUAUGCUUUGCCUACAGACCCGAUGGUUUGGUUUCCCCUGGCACCAAUGCACACGCAGGGUAGGCUGGAGGUAUGCAGCGCCUUGCCUUGCCCAUUGGGGAGCCACUGUGACAGCCUGCAGAGCCACACGCACAGCAAGCAGCGGCAUCUCCGCUUCAGGGCUCAUCUUCUCUGCUUCACCAUGGUUUUGUUAUAUACAAAAAACACAGACUGAUAAUGCGCUGCAGAAUAAGGGCUGCUGACAGCCCCCAGGGCUGUUGGGUAAGGAAAGUCCAAGCUUCUCUCAAUGUAAAGCUUUGGUAUUAAGACAGAAUGGUUGCUCCGCAUGCAUGGUCACUCCAAAGCCUUUGGGAGCUCCUGGCCUUGGAUGGGACGGAGGCAGUGGACACAGAUGCACGGCCAUCACAUGCACUGCGCUAUCAUUAUCUCCCAUCAGCCUGAAGGAGAGCCCAGCUCGCUCACAGCUGUUCCUAAUGGAGAUGUGGGAAGUGAGAGCUCAGCUGCAGACAUGCCACGAUGACCUGGCAGAGCUCAUCCGCCCACUGAAUCUCCGGAGCACUGCACUUUUGCUCCUCCCUUUCAUAGGAGGCAAAUCUGUCGUGGUUUUUUUGCCUCCUUCCAUGCCCUGCAAUCUGAAGGGCAUACAAACUCCCCCCUGCCUCACCCAGGGCCUGUCUCCACAUUCCAAAGGAGGACUACAAACUCCCUUUCCUUCACAUACCUUUCUUAACCUUCCUGCUCUUACUGCCAGAUGAGGAUAUAACAGACGGGCAGUCGUUCAGCAUUCUUCCAUUCAGUCUUUCGUAUUUCCUUCACCACAAAUGGGGUUCCUGGUUAGUGAGAAUACCAGAGGAGUCACUUGCUGUUGGAAUCGUCUGUUGUUGACAGCUGACAAACUUCAGUUUUCCAAACUGCCGUGUUUAUGAGACAGGAGACAGCAACAGGCCACUUAGCCUCUAGUAAGCACUCCUUGCAUGGGUAAUACAUUACCCUUCUCAUUAGGUGUUCAGCUGUGUGCUCUGCCCUGCAACUCUGGGGGAUGCCCAUGACUUUAAAUGUUUUCACCGAGAAGAAUUAGACAAAAUAUUGAGCCAGAAAUCCCCAUCUUGCCUCUAAAAGCAUGACUUUCCAGAAGACUCCUAACCAUCAGCCGAAGGGAAACGCUGUGUUGUGUGACUGUUGCAAAACCUUUUAGUUAAAUAGAAAUGCAGCACUCAACGCUAUCAUGUUCUGGUAUGUUCAGGACCCAGCUAGGGUUAACUACUCACAUUUCCAUGGAAAGCAUCAUGGAAAUUGCAUGAUAAAUCACAACUACAUUUUAAAUGGAGGAGUCAAGUGAAUGCUGAGGAGUCAAGUGACAUCUGUACCACUGAGUCAGCCUACCCUCUAGGGCUACCACUUCCCAUCCUUCUUCAUCAGCUAACCCAAGGGUGGGAUGCUACAACCACCAGUGCUGUAGGUCAAAAAUCCCAUUUGACCUGUUUGGAUGAUCUCCUGGAGUUGGUUAAAAUCCAAAGUGGCUGAACUCUGAUUGAGCUGCAUGUAGAUGUGGCAGCCAUGGUUCAGCACCCCCCCCACAGCCUGCUCUGGUGUGCAUCCCUUAAUUUCACUGGAGCUUCCCCUUCUCUUGCCUGAAGUGUGUUGAAAAAUUAAGUGUAGUGGCCAAAUAUCUUGGACUGUGUGUUUUAAAAUCCUAAUGUAUCCAUUGGUGUCUGACAUGACACUAGCCAAAGAGAAGUAGCUGCAAGCUAAGUGGAAGCUGACUCAGCCCUGCAGAUAGAUAUGGUAGAAACAGAAGAGCCAUCCUCAGUCAUGAGCUAGCAGAUCAAAUUCAGACAUGACACAGAUCACAUUAUAAAGGAUAUAUGAGCAAGUGCUCCUUGUAGCUUCUGUGCCACAGAGACAAGUGAGUCAGCUGGAAGCAGCAGCAGAAUUUACCCUGGAGCUCAAGACAGGAAAAAAUAAACUUCAGAAACCUCCCCAUUAAAUUUCUAUAACCUUCCGUUCUACCUUGGGCUCCUGGGUUUGUUCCUUCAGCUUUAUGUUGCUUGAGUGAUCCCUCUCCUACCACCCUCCUCCAUUUAGGUCACUUCUGAAUAUAGCCCAUUUGGCCGGGCUGCAGAGGAAGUCAAGUUGGGCCGCCUCCUUCGAGUCUCACUCACAUUUCAAGGCAGGCGUGCCGCUGUGGUGCAUGCAGAACAUGCCGUUGUGUUUGGGAGGUGGAAAAUGGUGAGUGAGCAUAAAGAUGACUUGUAGACAGAGCACCGUAUCCCUGCUCAGCAUCUCUGCUCCAACACAGCACUGCACACCUUCAGUGACCUGCCUGUGUACUGCCUAUGGGUCUUGGAAGAGCUGCAGACACGCAGGUUGCCCUGCACACAGCAGGAUGUGGCUUACCAACUUAGUCCCAUACCAAUCAGGGACUUCCUUUCAUUUAAAUCUCAUUUGUUUCGGGGAAUCCAGUACUUCAGAUGCAUCCUCUUGUGCACAUGUGCACACACAGCGCAUACAAAAUAAAGGCUGACUCAGAAGGUGGCACAGUCUCUUCCCUACUGAUGCAAAUUGGGAACAAAAUCCAUCUUAAAUACUGGCAAAGCCAGUGUCCAGGUAAGGAAACAAGCCUAGAGGAAGAUGUGUGCCCACUGGCCCAGAAGAUCUAUCCAGGCUCAUUUUGAGAUGGGCUCUGUCUGCAGGCUGAGAGGUAAAGCACAGCUCAUUCUGUGCGCACGUACCCAUAGAUACAGGCACAAAAGCAACAGCUGCUGGACCCAUGAGCCACAAUGGACUGAGGAACCAGCACUGAUGUUCAAUGUGUGCUUGCUGGGAGGCACCCGAAGAAUUCCACAUUGUCCUCUCGAUCUUUCCUUUGCUGUGCAGUGUGAUGAAAUGCACACCCCAUGGUGUCUGAACGUCUGGCUGACCCCCUUCAGACAGCAGCAAAGAAACUCCUCGUAUAUUUAGAAGCCUUGCUCUAAGGUUACAUAUCAAGAUACAUGCACGCUGCUGUUUUGCAGAACGCAGCUGCCCUGGAAGAAGCAAAAGAUGCUAAUCUGAUCCAGGAGCUGAGGCCAGCAAUUUCAAGUUUCCAUCUGUCUCUGCCUGUAAUACAUGCAGGAAGGAAAAGAGAGUUGGACUCUGGGCAAUAAGCGGUGCCUGCAGCAUGCAGGAAGACUGCAGAAAAAAACUGGAAGCCUGGAGCAGCCGUGUGAAAGGAAGACUCUUCUCCUGAGAGGGGCACAGAUGUUGAGUUGAAAUACAUCUUACUGCUUUCUUUUUCCCCCUUCCAUUGCACAAAAUAGCAAAAAUCACAACAUGCUCAAGACAACUCUUUUUUUCUCCAUCAGCCUUGGCAGGUGCAAUGCAUAGUAAUAACGGGUCAAAUCCAAAUCCAGGCAGAUGGUGAUGAAGGACAGGUAAUCUCCCAUGCCUGUUGUAGAUACUGCAAUUUGUUUGCGUGGCUCUCAAAAGACAAAGAAGACAUUAAUUUCUCAGUCAGACAACAGCAUCUUGCACCCAAGGUCUUGAUGGCUUAUGUAGGCAGAUGUUAUUUCCUCCUCUUCAAACUGGAUUAAGAUGCUGAUUACCUCACUUUGUCUGGGUCCAUCAAACCUACAACAAAAUGACUUGGUCGGACAAGGAGUGCAUUCGUUUCCAGCACAAGAGGGGAGGAGAAGGAUUUGUGUUCAACUGCAUUUCUCAAGCACGGCUGGAAGCAUAUGCAAGCAUUAAUAAAUGAAGAGAAAUGAUAUCAAUAUAUCAGUAAAGCAAAAAUAAGAUUACCUAUGACACAGAAGCACUAAAGGACAUUAGAGGAAUUGCUGCAUUUUCCCAUAUCUGUCACAUUAAGUGGUUUAAUAUAAAGCUUUUAUUUUUAUACCAAUCAAUAGCGCUGUGAGGUAGCACCAUUUAUCUUCAGGAGCACCGAAGUUACAACGGCUCAAUUCCUAUUUAUCUUAUGAGUGAGAUUUCAGAGAUAUUUAUGAGCCUCCAGAUGCAAGUUAGAUUUCCACUAUGGUUUUCAAAAGCAUCUGAACAAAUCAGGUGCCUCACUCCUAUUGAUCUACAUUCUGCUUAGGCACUCUGAGAAACUACUUCAAGUUGUACAUCCUCUAAUGCUCGGAGAACUCUGAAACUCUUUCUCCCCUCCCAUUCCACGUGCUUUGGUUUCAGUGGCAGUGCUGGGAUGGAAUAUUUUGUGUACUAAGUGUUACUGCAGUGAUGCAGUGGUGUUCACUUUGAUGCGUGCAGUGCAAGGCAGUGAGUGCUGACUUGUGUCACCUGCUGUAGUGAGCUCACCUGGCUGCCUUUCCCAGCCGUGGUAGGAAAGCCCCAUUGAGAACACUGAUGGACCAUUCUGAAUAUGUCCCACCACUCUUUCUCUGGAUCCUGCCUUGAAAACGAAGCCAAGAGCCCAAACUGCUGAGAUUUUGAGUGUUAGCUCAUCUCAAACAACUUCUGCACAUUUUAGCUACAGUACAGAUUGGCUGAACAGCACAACGUAGGGAAGAAAUCCCAUGUUUGCUUCCACUGACUUAACCCUGAAAUCGCCCAAUAAGUUUGAGAAAGGGAAAUUACUGUUUGAAACAAAAAAAUAGGAAAUAAACUUCCCACAUACCAGGAUGGAGAUGAAGUAAAAGUAAUUUUAUUCCACUUCUCAAUGACAGUUGUAUCAUAUCUGAUAAUAAGGCAAGCUACUCAAAGUCCCACAAGACGUUAUCAGACCACUGAAACAGUAUUCAAAAAACAAGGAGAAGUUCACAGAACAGCCAUUUCUUGGGGUCAUCAAAACCAGCGGCCAGAUUCCGCCAUGUACAAACGACAUCAGUGUUAAGUGCUGAAGAAAUCAACUCAUUCCACUGAUAAGAGUGAAGUUUUGUAUUGGAGUAAUUAAGGACAGGCUGUGCACCACUGACUUCAAUGAAAAACAGAGGCUGGCAGAAAGAAAAGUGAAAAAAGCACAUUAAAAAUACAAUACCAAGGCACAGAAAAUACAUGCUACUUCCAGGCAUAUGCUUUAACAAGUACAGAUUUCUGGGAGAUCUUUUUUUUUUCUUUUUUUUUUUUUCUUUUUUUUUUACUUGAAUAAUAGGCAUACUCCUGCCAGGCAUGAUUCAUUGCUCACGUGCACCUGUAAAACUCCCAUGCAUUUCUGGGUAUUCAGUCCAGAUUUAUGUUACUGCAAGGAGAGUAAGUGUAAGUUGGCAUAGCUUGCUUGAAGAUGUAGCAACAAUCAAAACAAACGGAGCAACAGUCACCAAAGACGUCGUCAUCUGCGUCAAUGCUCGCAGCUUGCUCCUUCAAACACGUAAUAUUUGGGUGAUAAAAAGAAAUACAUUCUUUCAGUUUUCAGCUAAUUAAAACUAGUUGUCCCACUCUACAUUUUCAUAAGGUAUUGAGAAACUGCAGUAAUUUAGAGGGCAUCCAUUGUGCAGCCUAAGGCUGUACACUGAGGGGUAACUCAGAUCAGCAAGUCUAUGUACAUCAGUGAGUGUAGAAAAGUCUGUCCAUCUCCAUGCUGAUUUAUGGACUAUUCAUAGCAAGACAAGAGGGUGAAUUAAAAAUAAGACACGAACAAAGCAGAACACAAUGAAACGAUGUGACUUGCUAUAGGAACAAUAACAGAGGGAUGAGAAAGAACAUCUAUUUAAAAAGAGCUUUUGUGAGAUAAAAAAAGAAAAACUUCUUAUAUACAUGGAGUUUAAAGAGGAAAAUAUGAUCAGUGCAACUUUAGUGCAGGACUAGAGCUGAAUUAAGGGAGUUCAGCAAGGAAAGACAACAAAAUGAGAGGAAAUAAUUAAAAAUAUGGAUGCUACGGAACAAAAGUGUCUUCUAAUAAUUGAAAUCGGUCCCAGGUGGUGAAAAACCCAAUGCAAAGACCUAAAGGCUGGGGGUGACGGGAGAAAGCAGCCACUGAGUCAGAGUACACCCACAGCAUUACAAAAUCACAUCGCAGGAUAAACCACAAACCCGUUGUUCUGAUUCUGUUAUGCUGAGACUAUCGUACAGGAAUACAAAAACCCUUCAUGGCCUGAUCCAAAACCCACUGGAGGUGACAGGAGUUCCACUAGCUCCAGCAGGCUGUGCAUCAGAGCUUACACCUUGCACUAGAACAGUUGAGAUAGGUUGGCUUCAGCUUGGCUCAGCCAGGGAACAUCAUGGACCCAGCACACAUUCCAUGUAAAUGAGAAAGAAAAAGGAGUUGUUAGGGCAAGGCUAUCACAUUAGAGUAAAACAACAAAAACUCACUUCUUUAUACUGAGGUUCUGUAUAAAUAAAUAAUUUGGAAAACCUGGUCACGCCAUGCUGAUUUACUAACUGGGCUAUCAUUGCAUCCAUCAGCAACAUGCCUCUGCAGACUUGUAGGGUCAAAUCUAACAGUCUGGAAAGAUGGGUUUCCUUUUCUUCUUACUUUUCCUCUCCUGAGAUUUACAUGGUGGUGUAUUCCAAGUGCAGUCCUGAUCUUCAGAUAGCAUGCUGCAAGGACACAACAAUAUGUUUUUAAAGGGGAAAAAGACAGAGAGUUUGCCUCGUGAGCUUAAAUUAUUAAUUCUACAGAUGUAAUGGAUACAUUAUUUAGUAUCACUUGUUCUCUUAAAAAACAUCCCUCUAGAUUAGUGGUUCAAUACUGCUUUGAAUCAAAGCAGUGUUUUUAAUGGCACCAGGUAUCUGUCAGUCUGAACAGAAUUUUUAAACUGGGUUGCUCAAAUCAAUGCAUGUUGGGAUCUUCCAGUGGCAGGAAAUGGGCUCUUACUUUUCUGAAGUCUGUGCCCCGUGCUUUGCUAUCAGCAAAUCAGUCCCUGCGGUCAGACAAGUAGGCUUCAUUGAACCUUGCUUUGCUAUGGAAAGUCUACUAACGGGCUACAUGAAAGAAUGGGAGAAUGGCGGAACUGGGUGAGAGCAAACAGCCUGACCCACAGCAUCCUGCCCCCGACAGUGACACGCUGCAGAUGCCUAGAGGAAGUGUGUAAGAAAAGCCCAAAUCCUGGAGGAUAUUUCUCUCUUUAUUGCCUUCUAGCUCUGGCAAUCUGUAGCUUAGAAACUCU
This 8639-nucleotide long non-coding RNA is filed under the name Gallus gallus (chicken). Lineage: Eukaryota; Metazoa; Chordata; Aves; Galliformes; Phasianidae. The record is from RNAcentral.